UACGUAGGGUGCAAGCGUUGUCCGGAAUUAUUGGGCGUAAAGAGCUCGUAGGCGGUUUGUUGCGUCGGCUGUGAAAUCCCGAGGCUCAACCUCGGGUCUGCAGUCGAUACGAGCAAACUAGAGUGUUGCAGGGGAGACUGGAAUUCCUGGUGUAGCGGUGAAAUGCGCAGAUAUCAGGAGGAACACCGGUGGCGAAGGCGGGUCUCUGGGCAGUAACUGACGCUGGAGGAGCGAAAGCGUGGGGAGCGAACAGG
Molecule: ribosomal RNA, 254 nt
Filed under: uncultured bacterium
Lineage: Bacteria
Description: partial 16S ribosomal RNA
Rfam family: Bacterial small subunit ribosomal RNA
Source: RNAcentral